CCCUUAGAUGUUCUGGGCUGCACGCGCGCUACACUGAUGCGCUCAACGAGUUUUAACCUUGCCUGGAAAGGUUGGGUAAUCUUUUUAAAACGCGUCGUGAUGGGGAUAGAUUAUUGCAAUUAUUAAUCUUCAACGAGGAAUGCCUAGUAAGCGCAAGUCAUCAGCUUGCGUUGAUUACGUCCCUGCCCUUUGUACACACCGCCCGUCGCUCCUACCGAUUGAAUGGUCCGGUGAAGCGUUCGGACCGUGGCCUUUGGACGGUUCGCCGUCUGUUGGCUGCGGGAAGUUCGUUAAACCUUAUCAUUUAGAGGAAGGAGAAGUCGUAACA
RNAcentral lists this ribosomal RNA (328 nucleotides) under uncultured eukaryote. RNAcentral's name for it is "partial 18S ribosomal RNA". It matches the Rfam family "Eukaryotic small subunit ribosomal RNA", at positions 1470 to 1796 of the family's 1831-position model. The record is from RNAcentral.